This is a non-coding RNA of Talpa occidentalis (Iberian mole), 420 nucleotides long. Lineage: Eukaryota; Metazoa; Chordata; Mammalia; Eulipotyphla; Talpidae. The record is from the annotation of a RefSeq genome assembly.
AUGGCCUGGAUCCCGCUCCUCCUGGCCCUCCUGGCUCACUGCACAGGCUCUGUGGUCUCCUAUGAACUGACUCAGCCUUCCUCAGUGUCGGUGUCUCUGGGAGAGACGGUCAGGUUGACGUGUCAGGGAGACAACAUUGGAAGUAAAAGUGCUCACUGGUACCAGCAUAAGCCAGGCCAGGCCCCUGUGCUGGUCAUUUUUUAUGAUAACGAGCGGCUCUCAGGGAUCCCUGACCGGUUCUCUGGCUCCAAAUCGGGGAACACGGCCACCCUGACAAUCAGCGGGGCACAGGCUGAGGACGAGGCUGACUAUUACUGUCAUGUGUGGCACAGCAGCAGUGAUCAGAAGGGCGGCGUCACAGGGAUGACAGUGGUAGGAGACAGAGAAACAGCAGCAGGAGCAGAGGAACAGAGACCAUGA